GAACGUCAUUGCAAUUCUCGACGUACACGAUUGGCUCGGAUCCACACGCGCUGCCAGGGCAGGGUAUGGUCCUCUGGAAAUUCUUGACGUACUCUGCACAAUAUUCGAUUUGCGUUGAAUUGGUGUCAGUUGCAUGGCCGCUCCUCAUGUCCCUGCCGACAAUAAGGUGGGCAACGGCGUAUUCAGGAUUCCCCGGCAGGGGGCAAGAUUCGCCGAAGGCGAAAAAAUUUUUUUGUACUAAUUUCAGUGGUAAGAAAAAUUCAUCACUGAAAUAUACUUACAACCCAACAAUGAGGAAUGUAGAAAGAAUUGCAUUCUACUAUUAACUUCCAAAUCUGAGAGAAGAUGUAAAAGAAUAAAGCAAUUACGCCUAUUAAAAAUUGAAAGGGAAUCGGAAGAAGAAGAAAAGAUGAACUGGAGAAGAAAUGAAGAACCGUCAUUACCUGUUAAAACAAAAACUGAAGGUGAUGGUUUGAAUCGGACACUUAUAAGAUCUAAAAUAGAAAUAAGAACCUGCAGAAUGAAGAUAAUUAGAUGAAGCGUCUGCUUCUUCUGGAGAGUGGAGUCUUGUCGCCUGAAAAUCCAAUUUGGGAAUUUAAGGAUGCUAGGGUUAAUGUUUGGAUUUUAUUUGGGGGAAAUAUUCAAAUUGAGUUUGUAAAUUUUUAAAUGGUGAUUUUAUGAAAAGUAUACUAAACCCUUGUGAAAUUGUGCUAAACCCUUAUGAAAAGUAUACUAAAAGAAAUUUAUAUAAUAUAUAAAUAUUGUGAAAUUUAUAUAUUAACCCUUAAAAAUAUUAAUAUAUUGUGAAAAUUAUACUAAACCCCCUAUAAAAAAUUUAAUUACAUAUAGGUCCUCAAAAAAUUUCCAAAUUUUAGGGGGGGCAAUUGCCCUCCCUUGCCCCCCCUGGAUACGCCACUGCUCGUAUAAUUAUUAUUUUAAUCUCUAUUUAACAAUCAAAAUUAAGCAACUCUUAAAAUUAAACAAUAAAAAGUCAGCAAGGCAAAUCUCCAAAGAAGAUGAAAGUAUGAAACAAAUAGAAAAAGAAAAAUGUUUACUGAAAAAGAAAUUUAGAAGCUUAAAUUCAAAAAUUAAAUUUUACUCACAGAAACUUAAAUUCAAAAACAGUCCACCACAACAACAGUCCAGCAAAAGAAUCCAGAUAUUUGCAUAAAUGUGAAAUAACUAAUCCAUAAUUAAAAUGAGUGUUUCAUGAUAUUCAUCUUUCAAAAAAAAAUGACAGCAUCGUAGUGGCGUAGCCAGGAUUCCCCAUCAGGGACGGUAAGAUUCGCCGAAGACGAAUUUUUUUUUGAACUAAUUUAAAAAUAAAAUUUUGGCAUGACCUAUUUACCUUAAAUCUAAGAAUACAAUCCUACAUUCUUAAAUCCAACUAUAAAAUUAUAAAAGAAUUAAUGCAUAAAAUUAUAAAUCCUAAAAAUAAUAAAAAAGUAACAAAACCUUGGUAUUGAAGAUCUUUUUAAGCUUUCCACAAAUGACAAAUCCCUAACCCGCAAGCGUAGUCAACCUAAAAAAAAUCAGAAGGAAACAAUUUAUAAACAGAAAGAUAAGAAAGAAGAAGAAUAUCAAAGAAAAUAAGAACAAUUUUUAAACAGAAAAUAAGAAUAAUUUUUAAACAGAAAAUAAGAAUAAUUUAUAAACAGAAAAUAAGAAUAAUUUAUAAACAGUAAUCUUCAAUCCACCGAAUAUGAUAAUAUUCAGUUCAUAUAUUCUCUUUUUAUAUUUUAAUUAUCAUGUUCGUUAUUCAGUAAAAAGAUAUAGAGCACAAAAAUAGAAAAAUCAAUGAUUUAUAUUCAACCAAAACCGGAAUAGAUAUGUCAUAUAGACCACAAAAAAAAAUCACAAUAGAACCCAAGGUCCUGUUUUAUAAACCAGAGUAGAAAAAUCACAAUAGAACCCAAUUCCAGUAGAAAUAUAGAUUAUUUUUCUACUCCGAUUUUUAUAUCACCAUUGUAAAAUAUAAAACAGGAUCAAACAUCAAUAAAAUCCAUCACCAUCGUAUUAUUCGUAUAAACAUUAAACAGGAUCAAACAUUCGUAUGAUUUUCUUUUCACCCAAAUAAUAUAUAGAAACAAGAUAAACAAAUAAAUACCAGAGAAGAGAUUUCCAGAUGGGGUUCCCGGAGAAGAGAUUUCCAGCAAGGCAGCAACAACUGUGAAGAAGAGAUUCCGGGAGAAGAUUAGGGAUUUGAUCGGGGAGAAGAUUUGUGAAAACUGAACGGGGGGGAGAAGUGUGGGGGUAGAUGAAGAAGUCGAUUAUAGAAUAGAGUUAGGGAUUUAGUAAUUUAAGAGAGAAGAGACAAGACGGGAGUGAUAAA
Molecule: long non-coding RNA, 2332 nt
Filed under: Zostera marina
Lineage: Eukaryota; Viridiplantae; Streptophyta; Magnoliopsida; Alismatales; Zosteraceae
Description: long non-coding RNA (ZMAR_LNC005251)
Source: RNAcentral